CAGCCGCCGCGGUAAUACAGAGGGUGCGAGCGUUAAUCGGAUUUACUGGGCGUAAAGCGUGCGUAGGCGGCUUUUUAAGUCGGAUGUGAAAUCCCUGAGCUUAACUUAGGAAUUGCAUUCGAUACUGGGAAGCUAGAGUAUGGGAGAGGAUGGUAGAAUUCCAGGUGUAGCGGUGAAAUGCGUAGAGAUCUGGAGGAAUACCGAUGGCGAAGGCAGCCAUCUGGCCUAAUACUGACGCUGAGGUACGAAAGCAUGGGGAGCAAACAGGAUUAGAUACCCGUGUAGUCCCUGUCUCUUAUAC
This 301-nucleotide ribosomal RNA is filed under the name uncultured bacterium. RNAcentral's name for it is "partial 16S ribosomal RNA". It matches the Rfam family "Bacterial small subunit ribosomal RNA", at positions 509 to 807 of the family's 1533-position model. The record is from RNAcentral.